This 1950-nucleotide unclassified non-coding RNA is filed under the name uncultured fungus. Its description in RNAcentral is "sequence contains 18S rRNA gene, ITS1, 5.8S rRNA gene, ITS2, 28S rRNA gene". The stretch from base 696 to 1950 matches the Rfam family "Eukaryotic large subunit ribosomal RNA", at positions 1 to 961 of the family's 3401-position model. Lineage: Eukaryota; Fungi. The record is from RNAcentral.
AGGUGGAUCUUUGAACAUUCGGCAAAGGUUUUGGUGUUGGAUUCCGAGCGUAAGCGAGGAAUCCAACAACAAGACGUGCGCUUGGAUCUCUUCCUUGUCUUUGUUCCCCUGUACAAACACGGGAACAAUGUCCGUUUUAACCACCCCUUACCCCCCCUAAAACAUACCUAUUUUAUCCGUCUUAUCUACCUGUUUCCGGACGUCAAACCCCCGGUCAACAAAACACGAUACGACUCGAGACAAUGGAUAUCUUGGUUCUCGCAACGAUGAAGAACGCAGCGAAAUGCGAAACGUAAUGCGAUUUGCAGCACUCCGCGAGUCAUUGAAUCUUUGAACGCAUAUGGCACUUUCCUGUCAGGGAGAGUACGUUUUUCUGAGUAUCGGUUCACUUCUCUACUACAUUCUUAUGGUGUGGUGGGAGACUGCGCGUGCACUUUUAAAAGUGCUUGCGUGAAACACUUGUUGGCCCUGCGCCGGUGCAACUUUCCAACCUAGUUGGUUUGGGAAGCUCGCAGCGGACAAAGGAUACACGGCUCUCGGAAUUCCUUAUAAGAAUCCCGAGGUCGUAUCUUUUUGUCUCGCUCGCUUCCCUCUCUUCCAAAUAGCCGCUGGGCACCUACGCAAUCCACACACAUCCAACACAACGAUACACCCUCUUCCUUAUUCUUUGAUAAACAACAAAGAAUAAUAACAUAGGAUCUCAGAUAAAACGAGACUACCGCCUCAACUUAAGCAUAUUAUUCAGGCGAGGAAAAGAAACUAACAAGGAUCUCUCUAGUAACGGCGAGUGAAGCGGGGAGAGCUCACAUUGAGAAUCUCGAGAGGCCUUGCGCCUUUUGCGAAUUGUGGUCUGGAGACAGGCUGUCACGGUGGCGGAUCGACCCAAGUCCUCUGGAAGGAGAGCAUCGGAGAGGGUGAGAAUCCCGUAUCUGGUCGAUUUUGAUAACCAGCCCCGGUACGACGUUUGUUCAGAGAGUCGUGUUGCUUGGGACUGCAGCACAAAGCGGGAGGUGCAAGACUUCCAAAGCUAAAUACAGGCGAGAGACCGAUAGUGAACAAGUACCGUGAGGGAAAGAUGCAAAGCACUUGGAAACGAGAGUGAAACAGAGCUUGAAAUUGUCUGGAGAGAAGAGUUGGGAGGAGUAUCUUAGUGGUGUGUGUUUUGACCCGUGUGGUUUUUUUAUGGGUGGUGUCGAGAGGGUGUGAAAGCUCCUCGGUGCUGUUUACAAUAGGAAAAUCCGCGGGGUGCGAACGCAUGUCCACCGUUAGCAAGGCUUUCUUGUCCACCAGGCUUCCACCCGCGCGCAGGGUAUCUUUGACCGCCCCGGAUAGGGAACGGUUCAACAAAGACGUAGAGGCGCGCGUGCGUGCGUUGUCCCAGGGGAGCUUUGCGAGCCGGAAUACGGCUCGGUCCGCGAGGGAUUCGCGAGGCGCGUGCGUUCCGGUGCGAUGUGCUGGGGAGGGUGCUUUGCUACUUGCCCCCUGCGCACUGGAACACGGCGUGUCCGCUCGAGUCGAACGCGUGAAUUUGCUGACGAAACAACUUUGUGGAAUGCCCCUCAUCUACCCGUCUUGAAACACGGACCAAGGAGUCUAACGCCUAUGCGAGGAUGCGGCCGUUUGAAAGCCAUGUACAAAGUAUCCGCAGUGAAAGCAAAGUCUCUUUUCGGAAGAGCAAAGGUGGGAAGGGCGCUAUUUGUCCCGGCACCAUCGACCGACCAGAAUUGGUCCCCGUUUUGUGCCCGUCAAAAAGGUACAGAGCCCAGGGACGCAGUGGUUUGAGUAGAAGCAUAGUUGUUGGGACCCGAAAGAUGGUGAUCUAUUCCUGAACAGGGCGAAGCCAGGGGAAACCCUGGUGGAGGUCCGCAGCGGUACUGACGUGCAAAUCGUUCGUCGGAUUUGGGUAUAGGGGCGAAAGACUAAUCGAACCAUCUGGUAGCUGGUUCCCUC